This 306-nucleotide signal recognition particle RNA is filed under the name Aotus nancymaae (Ma's night monkey). RNAcentral describes it as "Metazoan signal recognition particle RNA (ENSANAG00000009163.1)". It matches the Rfam family "Metazoan signal recognition particle RNA". Rfam says of the family: The signal recognition particle (SRP) is a universally conserved ribonucleoprotein. It is involved in the co-translational targeting of proteins to membranes. The eukaryotic SRP consists of a 300-nucleotide 7S RNA and six proteins: SRPs 72, 68, 54, 19, 14, and 9. Lineage: Eukaryota; Metazoa; Chordata; Mammalia; Primates; Aotidae. The record is from RNAcentral.
GCCGGGCACAGUGGCUCGUGUCUAUAAUCCCAGCUACUUGGGAGGCUGAGGUGGGAGUGGGAGGACUUGCUUGAGUCCAGGAGUUCUGGGUUGUAGUGUGCUAUGCCUAUCGGAUGUCUGCACUAAGUUUGGCAUCAAUAUGGUGACCUCCCAGGCACAGGGGACCACUAGGUUGCCUAAGGAGGGGUGAACCAGCCCAGGUCAGAAACAAAGCUGGUCAAAACUACUGUGCUGAUCAGUAGUGGGAUCACACCUGUGAAUAGACAUUGCACGCCAGCCUGGGCAACAUAGCAAGACCCCAUCUCU